UCGGUAAUUCCAGCUCCAUUAGCGUAUAUUAACGUUGUUGCAGUUAAAAAGCUCGUAGUUGGAUUUGUGGUUCGUUGCGCGGUCCCAAUAUUAUGUUGGGUGCUGUCGCGAGGAGCCAUCCUUGGGUGGAAUCUGUGUGGCAUUAGGUUGUCGCGCAGGGGAUGCCCAUCGUUUACUGUGAAAAAAUUAGAGUGUUCAAAGCAGGCUUAUGCCGUUGAAUAUAUUAGCAUGGAAUAAUGAGAUAGGACCUUGGUACUAUUUUGUUGGUUUGCGCACCGAGGUAAUGAUUAAUAGGGACAGUUGGGGGUAUUCGUAUUCCAUUGUCAGAGGUGAAAUUCUUGGAUUUCUGGAAGACGAACUACUGCGAAAGCAUUUACCAAGGAUGUUUUCAUUAAUCAAGAACGAAAGUUAGGGGAUCGAAGAUGAUUAGAUACCAUCGUAGUCUUAACCAUAAACUAUGCCGGUUAGGGAUUGGCAGGGCUUCGUUAUGUCUCUGUCAGCACCUUAUGAGAAAUCAUUAAACUUUUGGGUUCCGGGGGGAGUAUGGUCGCAAGGCUGAAACUUAAAGAAAUUGACGGA
The sequence is a ribosomal RNA, 579 nucleotides long. It matches the Rfam family "Eukaryotic small subunit ribosomal RNA", at positions 576 to 1160 of the family's 1831-position model.